RNAcentral lists this ribosomal RNA (233 nucleotides) under uncultured bacterium. RNAcentral describes it as "partial 16S ribosomal RNA". It matches the Rfam family "Bacterial small subunit ribosomal RNA", at positions 524 to 754 of the family's 1533-position model. The record is from RNAcentral.
UACGUAGGGGGGCAAGCGUUGUCCGGAUUUAUUGGGCGUAAAGAGCGUGUAGGCGGCCAGAUAGGUCAGCUGUGAAAACUCGAGGCUCAACCUCGAGACGUCGGUUGAAACCGUAUGGCUAGAGUCCGGAAGAGGAGAGUGGAAUUCCCGGUGUAGCGGUGAAAUGCGCAGAUAUCAGGAGGAACACCGGUGGCGAAGGCGGGUCUCUGGGCCGAUACUGACGCUGGAGGAGC